CCUACGGGAGGCUGCAGUGAGGAAUAUUGGUCAAUGGGCGCGAGCCUGAACCAGCCAAGUCGCGUGAGGGAGGACGGCCCUACGGGUUGUAAACCUCUUUUGCCGGGGAGCAACGGGCGUCACGUGUGGCGCCACUGAGAGUACCCGGAGAAAAAGCAUCGGCUAACUCCGUGCCAGCAGCCGCGGUAAUACGGAGGGAGCAAGCGUUGUCCGGAAUUACUGGGCGUAAAGGGCGCGUAGGUGGGCGCUUAAGUCAGGUGUGAAAACUCCGGGCUCAACCUGGAGACUGCACUUGAAACUGGGUGUCUUGAGGGCAGGAGAGGAAAGUGGAAUUCCUAGUGUAGCGGUGAAAUGCGUAGAUAUUAGGAGGAACACCAGUGGCGAAGGCGACUUUCUGGACUGUACCUGACGCUGAGGCGCGAAAGCGUGGGUAGCGAACGGGAUUAGAUACCCCAGUAGUC
RNAcentral lists this ribosomal RNA (461 nucleotides) under uncultured bacterium. Its description in RNAcentral is "partial 16S ribosomal RNA". It matches the Rfam family "Bacterial small subunit ribosomal RNA", at positions 338 to 795 of the family's 1533-position model. The record is from RNAcentral.